This 338-nucleotide long non-coding RNA is filed under the name Trifolium pratense (red clover). Its description in RNAcentral is "long non-coding RNA (TPRA_LNC010901)". The record is from RNAcentral. Lineage: Eukaryota; Viridiplantae; Streptophyta; Magnoliopsida; Fabales; Fabaceae.
UUUAUCAUCUAUCACAGGUUCUUAUAUGAAUAUUCAUACAGUUUAUGCUUCGGCUGAUUAUAGAACUAAUUUAACAAGCGAAAAUCAGUUUUAUAACGAAUUCGUUGAUUAAGCACCAGCGUGUUCGACUAACGAUGGCGAUGAUCAAGCGUCACCAAUAACACAGUUAAAAAUCAUAACAAUAAUUCGGCAGCCCUAUUUUGCAAGCGAAAAUAAUAUAACAAUUUCCUAUUCAGGUUAAUUUGAACAAGCGUGAAUUAAUUUGAAUAGUCUCAAUGUUAUGAACGUGAAACAAAAUAAUUAAGCAUCAAUUGCAUCAACUCAUACACAAAAGAGAG